AUUCAUCAUCAUCAUCAUGGGUUCGAAUGCCAGCAAGCAGCAAGCAGCAACCACUAUCCACUACCCACUACCCACCAUCCAACAUAAGCAUCCUCCUCAUCGACAGGACAACCAUUAGCUAGAGGAUGCUUCCUCUUGCAUUCCCCAAUUGCAGCCCCGGACUCGGGAGUAAAAACUCACGCUCGAAAUCGCCGCCAUUGUUCGUGGAUGAAGAACUAUAAUACAGCUGUAAUACGUGAUGGCGAUUUGGCUGUCAUUAUUUUUGUGUGCC
RNAcentral lists this long non-coding RNA (271 nucleotides) under Drosophila guanche. Lineage: Eukaryota; Metazoa; Arthropoda; Insecta; Diptera; Drosophilidae. The record is from RNAcentral.